AGGGUCUUAUCUUAAUUUAAAGUUUUUGAGUUGCAUUCAGAAUAUGUGGGUUAGUAUCCUGCAGGCUCUA
RNAcentral lists this transfer RNA (70 nucleotides) under Phrynoglossus myanhessei. RNAcentral describes it as "tRNA-Ala". It matches the Rfam family "tRNA". From Rfam's summary of the family: Transfer RNA (tRNA) molecules are approximately 80 nucleotides in length. Their secondary structure includes four short double-helical elements and three loops (D, anti-codon, and T loops). Lineage: Eukaryota; Metazoa; Chordata; Amphibia; Anura; Dicroglossidae. The record is from RNAcentral.